This 253-nucleotide ribosomal RNA is filed under the name uncultured bacterium. RNAcentral's name for it is "partial 16S ribosomal RNA". It matches the Rfam family "Bacterial small subunit ribosomal RNA", at positions 524 to 776 of the family's 1533-position model. The record is from RNAcentral.
UACGUAGGGCGCAAGCGUUGUCCGGAAUUAUUGGGCGUAAAGAGCUCGUAGGCGGUUUGUCGCGUCUGCUGUGAAAACCUAAGGCUCAACCUUGGGCUUGCAUUCGAUACGGGCAGACUAGAGUUCGGUAGGGGAGUCUGGAAUUCCUGGUGUAGCGGUGAAAUGCGCAGAUAUCAGGAGGAACACCGGUGGCGAAGGCGGGACUCUGGGCCGAUACUGACGCUGAGGAGCGAAAGCGUGGGGAGCAAACAGG